UACAGAGGGGGCAAGCGUUGUUCGGAAUUACUGGGCGUAAAGGGCGCGUCGGCGGCCUUCUAAGUCGAACGUGAAAUCCCCGGGCUCAACCCGGGAACUGCGUCCGAUACUGGAGGGCUUGAAUCCGGGAGAGGGAUGUGGAAUUCCAGGUGUAGCGGUGAAAUGCGUAGAUAUCUGGAGGAACACCGGUGGCGAAGGCGGCCCACUGGCUCGAUACUGACGCUGAGGUGCGAAAGCGUGGGGAGCAAACAGG
Molecule: ribosomal RNA, 253 nt
Filed under: uncultured bacterium
Lineage: Bacteria
Description: partial 16S ribosomal RNA
Rfam family: Bacterial small subunit ribosomal RNA
Source: RNAcentral